AUUGAAUUCGUGCUCCUUCCCGGCACCGGACCUCAAUUGUGCUUUUGUGACAGAAGAUCGACAAACAACUGCUGGGUACUUUUACAGGGCUCUCCUGGACCCAGAUCAGCGCCGCCAGGACUAUACACACUUUCCCUCGUGCUGCACUUGAGAGAGCCACAACGUAAACAAUACGGAGGCCCUUACUUACUCCACACCACUUGCACAUUGAUGCUGCUCAGGUGGCAUGUACUGCAGGGUCUUGCCGCUGAGUCCGCCUUGCCUCAGCUUCGCCGGCACACACGUUGUCAUCCUGACGUCGCACUCUCUU
Molecule: long non-coding RNA, 310 nt
Organism: Ornithodoros turicata
Lineage: Eukaryota; Metazoa; Arthropoda; Arachnida; Ixodida; Argasidae
Exons: 3
Source: RefSeq, a predicted model, not a curated record